AGGCGCGUAGCUCAGUGGGAGAGCGCUACCUUGACGCGGUAGAGGUCAGGGGUUCGAUACCCCUCGCGCCUACCA
Molecule: transfer RNA, 75 nt
Filed under: Nitrospirota bacterium
Lineage: Bacteria; Pseudomonadati; Nitrospirota
Description: Nitrospirae bacterium tRNA-Val
Rfam family: tRNA
About the family: Transfer RNA (tRNA) molecules are approximately 80 nucleotides in length. Their secondary structure includes four short double-helical elements and three loops (D, anti-codon, and T loops). Further hydrogen bonds mediate the characteristic L-shaped molecular structure. tRNAs have two regions of fundamental functional importance: the anti-codon, which is responsible for specific mRNA codon recognition, and the 3' end, to which the tRNAs corresponding amino acid is attached (by aminoacyl-tRNA synthetases). tRNAs cope with the degeneracy of the genetic code in two manners: having more than one tRNA (with a specific anti-codon) for a particular amino acid; and 'wobble' base-pairing, i.e. permitting non-standard base-pairing at the 3rd anti-codon position.
Source: RNAcentral